This 430-nucleotide ribosomal RNA is filed under the name Anolis boettgeri. Its description in RNAcentral is "partial 16S ribosomal RNA". It matches the Rfam family "Bacterial large subunit ribosomal RNA", at positions 1970 to 2594 of the family's 2925-position model. The record is from RNAcentral. Lineage: Eukaryota; Metazoa; Chordata; Lepidosauria; Squamata; Anolidae.
UGUCUCCUAAAUAGAGACCAGUAUGAACGGCUAAAUGAAAAUAAAACUGUCUCCUUUAGUUAAUCAGUGAAACUGAUCUUCCAGUACAAAAGCUGGAAUAAUCCCAUAAGACGAGAAGACCCUGUGGAGCUUUAAAUUUUAACCAAAAUAUUUUAACCCUGAUAAAUAUGGGACUUAAUUUUAAGUUGGGGCAACUUCGGAAAAAAAACAAACUUCCGAGCAUAAAAGAUAAUAUCUUAACUUAGGCCCACCAGCCAAAACAAACCUUGACCCAGUAUUACUGAUCAACGAACCAAGUUACCCCAGGGAUAACAGCGCCAUCUUCUUCAAGAGUCCCUAUCGACAAGAAGGUUUACGACCUCGAUGUUGGAUCAGGACACCCAAAUGGUGAAGCCGCUAUUAAAGGUUCGUUUGUUCAACGAUUAACAGU